GACGAACGCUGGCGGCGUGCCUUAGACAUGCAAGUCGAACGGAGUAGCAAUACUCAGUGGCGAACGGCGGAGUAAUGCAUAAGCAACGUGCCCCAAAGACUGGGAUAGUCGAGGGAAACCACGGGUAAUACCAGAUGUGGUCCUUAGAUGGCAUCAUCGAGGGAUUAAAUCGAGCAAUCGGCUUUGGGAGCGGCUUAUGUCCUAUCAGCUUGUUGGUGAGGUAACGGCUCACCAAGGCUACGACGGGUAGGGGGUCUGAGAGGAUGAUCCCCCCGAGUGGGACUGCGACACGGCCCACACACCUACGGGUGGCAGCAGUUUGGAAUAUUGCACAAUGGGGGAAACCCUGCAUGCAGCGACGCCGCGUGGAGGACGAAGGAUCUAGGUCUGUAAACUCCUUUUGCCAGGAAAGACUUAGGACGGUACCUGGCGAAUAAGCCCCGGCUAACUACGUGCCAGCAGCCGCGGUAAGACGUAGGGGGCGAGCGUUGUCCGGAUUUACUGGGCGUAAAGAGCGCGUAGGCGGCUAGUUAAGUGAGAAGUGAAAUCUCCAGGGCUCAACCCGGAAACUGCUUUUCAUACUGGCCAGCUGGAGGGACGCAGGGGUGACUGGAAUUCCCGGUGUAGCGGUGAAAUGCAUUGAUAUCGGGAGGAACUCCAACAGCGAAGGCAGGUCACUGGGCGUUUCCUGACGCUGAGGCGCGAAAGCGUGGGUAGCAAACAGGAUUAGAUACCCUGGUAGUCCACGCCCUAAACGAUGGAUACUAGACGUAAGAGGUAUCGACCCCUCUUGUGUCGCAGCUAACGCAUUAAGUAUCCCGCCUGGGGAGUACGGCCGCAAGGUUGAAACUCAAAUGAAUUGACGGGGACCCGCACAAGCGGUGGAGCAUGUGGAUUAAUUCGAUACUAACCGAAGAACCUUACCCAGGUUUGACAUCGAUGGUAAGCCCGAGAGAUCGGGCCCUCUCUCACAAGGAGACCUGAAGACAGAUGUUGCAUGGCUGUCGUCAGCUCGUGCCGUGAGGUGUACGGUUAAGUCCGCCAACGAGCGCAACCCUCGUCCUAUGUUGCCAGCGAGUAAUGUCGGGAACUCAUAGGAGACCGCCGGUGUAAGCCGGAGGAAGGUGGGGAUGAUGUCAAGUCAGCAUGGCUCUUACGCCUGGGGCUUCACACAUGCUACAAUGGGCGCAACAAAGGGCACCGAAGCCGUGAGGUGGAGGCAAUCCCAAAAAUACGCCCCCAGUUCAGAUUGCAGUCUGCAACUCGACUGCAUGAAGGCGGAAUCGCUAGUAAACGCAGGUCAGCUAUACUGCGUUGAAUACGUUCCCGGGUCUUGUACACACCGCCCGUCAAGUCACCUGAAUUGUCUUCACCCGAAGUCCGUGGCCUAACCGUAAGGAGGGAGCGGCCGAAGGUGAGGGGAGUAAGGGGGACU
Molecule: ribosomal RNA, 1435 nt
Filed under: uncultured bacterium
Lineage: Bacteria
Description: bacterial SSU rRNA
Rfam family: Bacterial small subunit ribosomal RNA
Source: RNAcentral